This 448-nucleotide ribosomal RNA is filed under the name uncultured bacterium. RNAcentral's name for it is "bacterial SSU rRNA". It matches the Rfam family "Bacterial small subunit ribosomal RNA", at positions 337 to 799 of the family's 1533-position model. The record is from RNAcentral.
ACCUACGGGAGGCAGCAGUGGGGAAUAUUGCACAAUGGGCGCAAGCCUGAUGCAGCAACGCCGUGUGAGUGAAGAAGGUUUUCGGAUCGUAAAACUCUGUCCUAAGGGAAGAAACAAAUGACGGUACCUUAGGAGGAAGCCCCGGCUAACUACGUGCCAGCAGCCGCGGUAAUACGUAGGGGGCAAGCGUUAUCCGGAAUCACUGGGCGUAAAGGGUGCGUAGGCGGCUUAGCAAGCCAGGGGUGAAAGGCAUUGGCUCAACCAAUGUAAGCCUUUGGAACUGUUAAGCUUGAGUGCAGGAGAGGUAAGUGGAAUUCCUAGUGUAGAGGUGAAAUUCGUAGAUAUUAGGAGGAACACCAGUGGCGAAGGCGACUUACUGGACUGUAACUGACGCUGAUGCACGAAAGCGUGGGUAGCGAACAGGAUUAGAUACCCUGGUAGCACAGAG